RNAcentral lists this ribosomal RNA (441 nucleotides) under uncultured Bacillota bacterium. Its description in RNAcentral is "bacterial SSU rRNA". It matches the Rfam family "Bacterial small subunit ribosomal RNA", at positions 929 to 1363 of the family's 1533-position model. Lineage: Bacteria; Bacillati; Bacillota. The record is from RNAcentral.
CCGGGGCGCGCCCCGGGCGGGGCGGGGGCACGGGGGGAACGCGAAGAACCUUACCAGGUCUUGACAUCCUCUGAAAACCCUAGAGAUAGAACUUCUCCUUCGGGAGCAGAGUGACAGGUGGUGCAUGGUUGUCGUCAGCUCGUGUCGUGAGAUGUUGGGUUAAGUCCCGCAACGAGCGCAACCCUUGAUCUUAGUUGCCAUCAUUAAGUUGGGCACUCUAAGGUGACUGCCGGUGACAAACCGGAGGAAGGUGGGGAUGACGUCAAAUCAUCAUGCCCCUUAUGACCUGGGCUACACACGUGCUACAAUGGACGGUACAAAGAGCUGCAAGACCGCGAGGUGGAGCUAAUCUCAUAAAACCGUUCUCAGUUCGGAUUGUAGGCUGCAACUCGCCUACAUGAAGCUGGAAUCGCUAGUAAUCGCGGAUCAGCAUGCCGCGAU